This 37-nucleotide transfer RNA is filed under the name Pteraster militaris. Its description in RNAcentral is "partial tRNA-Phe". Lineage: Eukaryota; Metazoa; Echinodermata; Asteroidea; Velatida; Pterasteridae. The record is from RNAcentral.
AAAUACUUCAAUAAAGGUUAAACUCCUUUUCUUAGCA